UUCGUGGAUCCGGGCUGUGGACCCAGGAGGUGAUUGAAGGUCUUGUCCAUGCCCCAGCUCUCGAACUCAAGGAUUUCUCAAACCAGCGACACUUACCAGAUUUAGCCCACUGUAGUUGAUGGCAGCGUCACAUGUUCUCUCGGGAAUGGCUCUCUCUGUCGAGGUUGACUCAUCAGGUUGGCCGCUGGGGCCGAACCCUCACCUUGGUGAGCGUCGGGUUGUUCGUGGCGCGAGCCAGGACCAGGAACCUCUUGUUGGGCGAGC
Dermacentor andersoni is the source of this 264-nucleotide long non-coding RNA. RefSeq lists it as uncharacterized. The record is from RefSeq and is a predicted model, not a curated record. Lineage: Eukaryota; Metazoa; Arthropoda; Arachnida; Ixodida; Ixodidae.